This 627-nucleotide unclassified non-coding RNA is filed under the name Hevea brasiliensis (rubber tree). The record is from RNAcentral. Lineage: Eukaryota; Viridiplantae; Streptophyta; Magnoliopsida; Malpighiales; Euphorbiaceae.
GAAUUUUUCAUAAAACUUUCUAUUAUAUUAUAUUAUACUAAUCAAAAUGGAUUUCUUGAGUUGUCAAACUCAAAAAAUUCAUUUAAAAUGUCACAAGAAAAGACUCAACCAAGAUCAAAUGAGGCUCUUAGAGAUUAGCUUCAGCUCGAAUAACAAGCUUGAUUCCGAUAGAAAAUUUCAACUUGCCCAAGAACUAGGGUUGCCACCUAGGCAAAUCGCAAUAUGGUAUCAAAACAAGCGAGCACGAUGGAAAAGUCAAAGCCUUGAGGUUGACUAUAAGACCUUGCAACAAAGACUAGAUAAUGCCCUUGAGGAUAAUGAGAAGUUGAAAUUGGAAGUUGAGAGGCUAAGAAAAGAGCUAAACAAAAAUCAAGAAGUGUUGUUGGGAUUCAACACCACAACUACUAAUAAUUAUUCAUCAAUUUCAAGUUCUUGUGAUGAAGUUGGGAGUACUUCAUGUUUGCAACUUCAUGAUCAAUCCAAGCAUAAUCAUCUUGAUAAGGAUUUUUAUGCUUGUUUAAUUGGUGAUGAAGGUCACUUUGGGACACAUGAUGGGCAUAAUUUCUUUGCUUCAUCUUUGUCUUGAUAAGCUACAUAUGUAUAUGGUAACUAAUUAAGUCCAAAAAC